Molecule: ribosomal RNA, 481 nt
Filed under: uncultured bacterium
Lineage: Bacteria
Description: partial 16S ribosomal RNA
Rfam family: Bacterial small subunit ribosomal RNA
Source: RNAcentral
GAUGAACGCUAGCGGCAGGCCUAAUACAUGCAAGUCGAACGAGAUUAAGAGGCUUGCUUCUCUGAAAGUGGCGCACGGGUGCGUAACGCGUAUGCAACCUACCUUAAUCAGGGGGAUAGCCCGAAGAAAUUCGGAUUAAGACCGCAUAAAAACACAGGAUAGCAUUAUCCAAUGUUCAAAUAUUUAUAGGAUUACGAUGGGCAUGCGUGUCAUUAGCUAGUUGGCGUGGUAACGGCCCACCAAGGCGACGAUGACUAGGGGAUCUGAGAGGAUGACCCCCCACACUGGUACUGAGACACGGAACAGACUCCUACGGGAGGAAGCAGUAAGGAAUAUUGGGCAAUGGAGGGAACUCUGAACCAGCCAUGCCGCGUGCAGGAAGACAGCCAUCGGGGUCGUAAACUGCUUUUAUUCGGGAAUAAACCAUUCUACGUGGAGGAAGCUGAAUGUACCGAAGGAAUAAGUAUCGGCUAACUCCGUG